CAGCCAUUUCCAUGACCC
RNAcentral lists this small nuclear RNA (18 nucleotides) under Arabidopsis thaliana (thale cress). Its description in RNAcentral is "snRNA_01686". The record is from RNAcentral. Lineage: Eukaryota; Viridiplantae; Streptophyta; Magnoliopsida; Brassicales; Brassicaceae.